GACGUAGGUGGCGAACGUUAUCCGGAAUUAUUGGGCGUAAAGGGUGCGUAGAUGGCAUGAUAAGUUAUUAGUGGGAAAUCGAGGCUCAACCUCGUGGAAGCUGGUAAUACUGUUUUGCUUGAGUGCAGGAGAGGUUAACGGAACUCCAUGUGGAGCGGUAAAAUGCGUAGAUAUAUGGAAGAACAUCAAUAACGGCGAAGGCAGUUAACUAUGCUGCUACUGACAUUGAGGCACGAAAGCGUGGGGAGCAAAACGG
RNAcentral lists this ribosomal RNA (256 nucleotides) under uncultured bacterium. RNAcentral's name for it is "partial 16S ribosomal RNA". It matches the Rfam family "Bacterial small subunit ribosomal RNA", at positions 524 to 776 of the family's 1533-position model. The record is from RNAcentral.